Non-coding RNA from Kalmusia sp. IMI 367209, 84 nucleotides. Lineage: Eukaryota; Fungi; Ascomycota; Dothideomycetes; Pleosporales; Didymosphaeriaceae. The record is from the annotation of a GenBank genome assembly.
GCAUCGAUAGUUUAGUGGUAGAAUUGAAGCUUCCCAUCAAACGAUAGUCUGCUUCAGGCACGGGUUCGAUUCCCGUUCGAUGCA